This 1343-nucleotide ribosomal RNA is filed under the name uncultured bacterium. RNAcentral describes it as "16S ribosomal RNA". It matches the Rfam family "Bacterial small subunit ribosomal RNA", at positions 28 to 1378 of the family's 1533-position model. The record is from RNAcentral.
GACGAACGCUGGCGGCGUGCUUAACACAUGCAAGUCGAACGGAAAGGCCCUGCUUUUGUGGGGUGCUCGAGUGGCGAACGGGUGAGUAACACGUGAGUAACCUGCCCUUGACUUUGGGAUAACUUCAGGAAACUGGGGCUAAUACCGGAUAGGAGCUCCUGCUGCAUGGUGGGGGUUGGAAAGUUUCGGCGGUUGGGGAUGGACUCGCGGCUUAUCAGCUUGUUGGUGGGGUAGUGGCUUACCAAGGCUUUGACGGGUAGCCGGCCUGAGAGGGUGACCGGCCACAUUGGGACUGAGAUACGGCCCAGACUCCUACGGGAGGCAGCAGUGGGGAAUAUUGCACAAUGGGCGGAAGCCUGAUGCAGCAACGCCGCGUGCGGGAUGACGGCCUUCGGGUUGUAAACCGCUUUCGCCUGUGACGAAGCGUGAGUGACGGUAAUGGGUAAAGAAGCACCGGCUAACUACGUGCCAGCAGCCGCGGUGAUACGUAGGGUGCGAGCGUUGUCCGGAUUUAUUGGGCGUAAAGGGCUCGUAGGUGGUUGAUCGCGUCGGAAGUGUAAUCUUGGGGCUUAACCCUGAGCGUGCUUUCGAUACGGGUUGACUUGAGGAAGGUAGGGGAGAAUGGAAUUCCUGGUGGAGCGGUGGAAUGCGCAGAUAUCAGGAGGAACACCAGUGGCGAAGGCGGUUCUCUGGGCCUUUCCUGACGCUGAGGAGCGAAAGCGUGGGGAGCGAACAGGCCUAGAUACCCUGGUAGUCCACGCUGUAAACGGUGGGUACUAGGUGUGGGGUCCAUUCCACGGGUUCCGUGCCGUAGCUAACGCUUUAAGUACCCCGCCUGGGGAGUACGGCCGCAAGGCUAAAACUCAAAGGAAUUGACGGGGCCCCGCACAAGCGGCGGAGCAUGCGGAUUAAUUCGAUGCAACGCGUAGAACCUUACCUGGGUUUGACAUGGAUCGGGAGUGCUCAGAGAUGGGUGUGCCUCUUUUGGGGUCGGUUCACAGGUGGUGCAUGGCUGUCGUCAGCUCGUGUCGUGAGAUGUUGGGUUAAGUCCCGCAACGAGCGCAACCCUUGUUCACUGUUGCCAGCACGUUAUGGUGGGGACUCAGUGGAGACCGCCGGGGUCAACUCGGAGGAAGGUGGGGAUGACGUCAAGUCAUCAUGCCCCUUAUGUCCAGGGCUUCACGCAUGCUACAAUGGCUGGUACAGAGAGUGGCGAGCCUGUGAGGGUGAGCGAAUCUCGGAAAGCCGGUCUCAGUUCGGAUUGGGGUCUGCAACUCGACCUCAUGAAGUCGGAGUCGCUAGUAAUCGCAGAUCAGCAACGCUGCGGUGAAUACGUUCCCGGG